GAGAGAGAGAGAGAGAUUACAAGCUAUAUCUAGAUAUUGGGUCUUGCCUUCAUAUUAUUGGUUAGUAUUAUUAUAAAUGCUCCAGUAAAGCCAUGACUCGUUUGCACUCCUGAAAUUUGAAUGCUCAUUUGAGCUUUAGAUAGAUCAAAUUGCUUGUGUGAGGUAAACGGGCUUUGAUACUAUUGAAUUUUGGGUUCCAUCUUAUAAUGUGAACCUUAUCAAGUGGCAAAGCUUAAAUUAUAAUUUCAAACAAACUUUUUAUUGCAUAUUUUGUGAGAACUGUUGCUUAAAUCUAAAUUUAAGCACUUUAAGUUCUUAAACAUUAGUUAGUAUUUUUUCUAUGUAAUCAAUGUGAGAUUUCACCCUCAAAGCUGGAGCAUUUAUAAAUUUCAAAGUGAUCACGCGAAGAUAGCACUCAUAUUAUCUCAUGCAAUAUCAAAAACUGGUCGGAAAAAGAAGGCAGAGGUCCUUGAAACUAUAUCUAAC
This 486-nucleotide long non-coding RNA is filed under the name Olea europaea (common olive). RNAcentral's name for it is "long non-coding RNA (OEUR_LNC001743)". Lineage: Eukaryota; Viridiplantae; Streptophyta; Magnoliopsida; Lamiales; Oleaceae. The record is from RNAcentral.